GUCGUUCAAAAUGAAAAAAGGAAAAGAAAAAAAGAACUUAGCAUGUAAUGAAAACCUAGGUAUAGCUGUAUGCAAUAUAAUCUCCAUUAAGGAAGAAAGUAAGAAGAAGAAACUGCGGUUCUCUUCCAGAAAUUACAACAGAACUACAUUCGCUUGUCUCUAUUAUUAGCUUUGUGCAAAUUUGGGUGAAAGGAUUGCUGGGGUCAUGUCUGUCUUAUUGAUACCCUUGAAGAGACAACAUGAUGUGAAUCUUACGGAGCCAGAUGGGAAAGGAAAGUUGCAAAAGUCAACAAGUUCCAAUUGGCAAAAUCAACCUUCAACGAAUUCUUCUCGCGGUGCUUUUUUUCGUGUGCUAUGCCCUGCUUCAAAAGCUGAUUGUCUUAUUGGAAAAGAGAGUUCUUUAAUAUCACAAAUUCAGCAAGAAACUGGUGCAGAACUCAGAGUUGAGGAAGCUGUCCCCGGUUGCGACGAGAGAGUUUUCAUUAUUGGUUUUGAGAAAGAGGAUGGAGUUGGUGAAGAGGCCAAUGAAGACGGUAAACAUGAUGAGACAGAGGAAGAGGAUGAGAAAAUGAAAGAGAGGGAUUCAAUUUCUUUGGAAAAUUCAAAAUCUGAUAACAGGAUUUCAUCACUUAAAAAGGCUCUGAUACUUGUUUUUGAGAAAAUGAUUGAAGGGCAUCGAGAAACAGAUGGAGGGGAUGUGGAAAGCAAAAAAUCUUCACCAUUUGUUUUGAGGUUACUUGUACUCUCAACUCAAGUGGGAUGCAUUUUGGGAAAAGGUGGCUGUGUGAUCAAGCAAAUGUCAUCUGAAAGUGGGGCGCAAAUUCGAAUUCUUCCAAGGGACAAACUUCCUCCAUGUGCAUCAUCGUUGGAUGAAUUGGUUCAGAUUACAGGGGAAGUUGAGGCAGUAAGAAUAGCGCUUAAUUAUGUCUCUCUUCAGCUUUUGGGGAAUCCCCUUCGAGAUCAUGACUUUUUCCCUACCAACCUUACGGGACCAUCAAUUCAUUUAUUUGGUCAACCUGGCCCUAUACCUGAAGCAUUCCCACCAUCCAUUUGUUCUUUUGCUGCUCAAGGAGCACCCUAUGCUGAUGGGCCUCGUAAUGUUGAUUUUCGUUCUGCUGCGCCCCCAUUAAUUCCUAAAUUUCAUGAUGGUUUCCAUGGUCGAAUGAAGCCAGCUCCAGAAAUACUAACCUUCCGGAUAUUAUGCCCUGCUGAAAGAGUGGGGGCUGUAAUUGGAAAGGGUGGAACAGUUAUUAAGGCAAUUCAGCAAGACACUGGUUGUGAGGUUAAAGUCAUAGAAGAAGGCAUGUCUGAUUCUGAGGAUCGUGUUAUUGCUGUAUCUGGUCAUGUGCAUCCAGAUGACAGGGUAUCAGCUGUGCAAGAUGCAGUUCUUCGAGUGCAAACUAGAAUAGCCCGGGCAGCACCUGACAGUAAGGAGCAGAGUGUGACAGCCAGGCUUCUUAUUUCCUCCAAUCAGAUUGGUUGUCUUCUUGGCAAGGGUGGUUCCAUCAUAGCAGAAAUGAGAAAAUUAUCACGAGCACAUAUUCGUAUAUGGGGCAAGGAUCAAAUUCCAAAGUUUGCUUCAGAAGAUGAAGAAGUUAUUCAGAUAAAUGGAGAAUUUGAAGCAGUUCAAGAUGCUCUUAUACAGACCAGCACUAGGUUGCAGCAUCAUUUUUUUCAUGAUGCUUUUCCUUCCAUUAAUUAUCCCACAAAUCCUGCAUUUUUUGAUCCUCCAUUCCUGUCUUUUUUGGGAUUGCGGGAACUCUCACCUGCAGGAAUGCAUUCAAACUAUGGCCCAUCUUUUCACAAGUUUGAUAUGCUCCCACAUGGUGGUUUUCAACCUCGUGAUGAUUGUGUUCCUUUCAUGCACAAUAUCCAUAGGUUUGGUGGCCCAACACUAUCUGAAAGAAGACCGUGGGGUCCUCAGGGACUUCCUGAAGGUAGUGGUCCAGGUCUGCCAGAUUUUGUUGGAUUUCCACAAAGAGUCAGCCAACCAGCUAUAAUUACUAGCAGCACUGUUGAAGUUGUUAUUCCUCAUUCAGUUGUUCCUGCUAUUUAUGGAGAAGAUGGUGAAUGUUUGAAACAAAUUCGUCAGAUUUCCGAUGCAAAAAUUACAAUUAUGGAGCCGAAGGCUGGAGCGGUGGAAACUAUGAUAAUUAUAUCUGGAACACCAGAACAAACCCAUGCCGCACAGAGUCUAAUUCAAGCAUUUGUGAUUAGUGAGACUGAGUCUACUUGAUAUUCUUGGUUCAGGUUAAAUGGAGUCUACACGUCUGAUCGUCGACAAGAAAAAGGCGACAAUGGAGGCCCGAAAGAGGAAACAGGCUGGCGAGCCCUCGCGGACGCAGAAAAAGCCAAGAGUUACCACUGUUGACACCCCCAUGGCUACUCAGGCUGCAGGGCUGACUGUCUCUGUCAGUGAGGUUCUGCUCUCAAUGAGUUCCGCUCUAACGGUGGGUCCCCGUAAGGAUGCAAGUGCUCCUCCCCCACUACGUCUGACGGAUGCGGGAAGGCUACCUGUGGCUCAAGAGGUCUUUGAACGGGUGGCGCAAUGUGGCAAGGCAAUUGUCGAGGAGUCUGCACCUUCUCUGGCAGUUUCAUUGGAUUGUGCUCCCCUAACGGGGGCACCUAGCACAGCCUCUGCGGAGCCAAACAGGACGAAUUUGAGGCCUUGGCCCAUGCCGACUUCAAAGAAUACCUCCGGGACCUGGGGAAGGAGGUCUCCCCUCUGGCUGCAGGACUGCUGACCAUAGUGGGAGAUAUCUUGGGGAGCAUACCCCUUCGUUGAUGGGCCGAGCUGAGGCAGCAGAACAUUGUCGAUCUUUCUCAGAGCCAAUCGGUGACUUUUGUCUUGAUGACCCUCCCCACUAUCCAACAAAGCGAGGCUGUGAAUGGAUUGAUGUGGGACACCCAUCGUUUUCAUGAGGAGCUCCAAAACUAUAUUGCCUUGUUGAACAAGGUUGAAGCGGAGUUGGCCAAGCUAAAAGGUGAUGGUGUUUUUCCUCCCGCCGAGGCAAAGCCGGCCUAGUCCUUUACGAAGGUUGAGCGUGCAUGGGAUGAUGAGAAGGCUCGUCGAGAGCCUGUCGAGAAAAAGUUGGUUGCGGCUUGGGAGAAGAUUGCCAACAAUGAGGAGAAGAUUCUUCUCGAGACCGUCGAGAAGGAGCUUACCUAGGCCCGGUCAAAGAUUGUCACCCAAGUAGAUCUCAUCCACCAGGAGACGUCUUUAAAGGCGAGGAUCGACGCCCAAGUAGCUCGGGUGGCUGAGGUGAUUAAGGAAAGCCAGGCGGAGGUCGCCAAAUACCGUGAGAUGUCCAACUCGUUCGGUAUGGACGCUAUCUUCAAUGUGUGGCUCUGCAAUCCAGACCUGGACUUGAGCUACCUUAGGGAUGACGAAGCCUAUGUCCAGGGCCUUUGCGAAGAGCGCUUGAAGGCCGACGAGGCUCAUGAGAUUAGCGUUCUGACCUCUUGGGCCUACUGGCUCCGAGAAUGUCGUAGUCCUUGCUGUCGAGCUGCCCCCCGGGUCCUCGGACGCUCCCACUAGUCGUGAUGGGCCGCCUUCCAUAGUAGUCUUAUAGAUUUUUUUUUUCUUUUCUAUGUAUUUACUUUUUUAUAGGUCUUCGGGCCUUUGGAGAUCAACUCAAUAUUGCUCGCACUCCCGAGCCCUUUGUAUAUAAGUUGUAACAUAAUAUACAACUCUUUUUUAUUUA
RNA transcript from Humulus lupulus (European hop), 3704 nucleotides. It is a transcript of the gene named KH domain-containing protein HEN4-like, with no coding region annotated. NCBI's taxonomy places the organism in Eukaryota, Viridiplantae, Streptophyta, Magnoliopsida, Rosales, Cannabaceae. The transcript has 10 exons. The record is from RefSeq and is a predicted model, not a curated record.